GUGACACUGGCGCCCAUAAGCUGUCGGACAAAUUGCCCCUGGGAAAGGUAAUAAAAUUGAGAGGUAGGCGUUGGCCCGGCCAAAGGAUGAUUCGGUCUUUGAAUCGAACCCGAAUCAGUUUGGGUCAAACUCGAAAUCGGUCCUAAUCGACGAUUCAAGGUGUUGAAUCAACCUUGAACUGAGGCUGGGGGAUGCGCUUUAAUGAAGUGCUUUAUUCCUUGGAUUUUGCCGAAGAUAUUCAUUGAGAGAGCCCUAACUGGCGGAGAGGAAAGAUGCCACGGGGUUACAACAGAAAGAAAGCUAGCUGUGACUCUGAAGUGUUUUCCCUGCCAAAAAGGGAGCAGAUGUAUUGCAAUCCCGUUUAACAAAAUUGAAGGAAACCUCAGCUAAAGUGCUAGCUAGCAACCUCUUCUACAUCAGAUAUAAGGCCCUGAAUAUCUAAAGGAGUUGAUGAACCACUGAGAGCUUGAAUUGUUAUGAGAGAAUCUCUCUCUAUAAUGACUCGACGGAACCCUCUGUCCUUAGCUAGCAGAAUUGCGUCUCUACAAGCCAGUCCCUCCAUUACCAGCGAAUCACUGCAUCUCAAAUACCUUCAACAGUACCACGUAAUUGGACUGCACGGGCUAUAUAUAACUGCAUUUGCAUCCGAUUCCCUUGAGAGUUGCAUGCCGCAUGCAUCAAAGUAUUUCGUCUGGUUGAACUGUUAAGCAAGCUAGACAGUAGUCCAAGGGGGGAAUAAUUAACCCAAAUCUCUGCCGCUCUUGGGCUAGAGAAAAAUAGAUGAUUUACAGGUUCCUUUGACCACAAAACCCAUAAUCUGGGGAGAAGAAACUGAACCUCCCAUGAAGAAGGCCAUUCGUGGCCAGCCUCACAUGAAGAUGCCGCCAAAAUUUUAUUUAGAGCCGAGAGCUUCCAGACGUGCUUCCAAAGAACAUCAUUUAGCUGCUGAGAAUUUGGACUAAUCCUUGGGUUGCUACAAAGAAGGCACAUGAAGAAAAUUAUAUUAUACAUUUUAUGUUGUACAUUUCACACCUUGCUACAAUGUGCAAGCCUUAAAUGGUGACCCCCUGCAGCCUUCUGCAAUGGCUGCAGUUUCUUGCCUAGUGGCACAAGGCUUUUUUAUUUUUAAUUUUUCUUUUUCAAUAGGCAUACACACACAGUCACAUACAUAUAAUCAAGCAAGAAUUUUGAAUAUUUUAAGUAACUGUUUGAUUCAUUUUGUUGAUCCUCGGAUAUCAUUCCAUACUUCAGAUUCAAUCUGGGAAGGGUAACCCCAAUCUAAGGAAAGUGUCGGAGCCGUCAAAAUCUUGAGCAGGAUCUGCUGAGCUACUGGUAUUGGUUAACAUAGAAUCUGAUGACCCUACUGACACAUUCAUCAUUUGCUUCUUUAGUCGCUCGUUCUCUUCCAUCAAUUGAGCCUCCUGCGCAAAUGGAUGAGAAAGAAACAAUAGAUUUCACAAAAUAGAGCAAGAAAGAGACAAGCUACCUUAGCUACGAAAAUUCUAGUAUAAAAGAUAUAUAGAAAAUGUGUUAAAUUUAGAGAAAGUGCCGGUAGAAUUAUAUUUUAAUUCAAUUUUAAUAUGAAUAUUAUGAACUUAUACAAGUGAUUAAAUAAUUAGUCACUUCAAUAUUAUAACUCAAUCAUUUAUAUUUACUCUUUCAAUCCUACAUCACCAUAUAUCUUUUCAACAAGGAGUUAGAGAAUCUCUGCUAGACAUACCUCAAGAGGUUCUCUUGUUUUACAAGUCUCUUUAGUUAAGAAGAGACCAUGAUACCCAUUAUUAACUAUGAGUCUCCAACAAUGAAAACGAUUGGUUUUUCACUUAUCAUUAAAAUAAGAACAGUUCAAAAGUCUCUUUCACUUGUUUUGAUGAGUGGGCUUGCAACAGUUCAAAGAUAAACAUAACCAUAAAAGCAUGCAACUGACCUUGUUUUUGAGGGCAUUUAUUUCAUUUGCAAUUGCAUCACCCUUUGUUUCCAUGACUCGCUUCAAGCCUCUUUCAACUGAUUUCUCUAAUUGUUGAAGUUCUUCAAUGCUCAAUCCUUGGAGUUCUUCUCCCCUCAUCUGCCUCAGUUCACGGGUCUUCUCUUCUACUUCCUUGCUCAGUGCAGCAGACGUACCAUCUUUAAGCU
RNAcentral lists this unclassified non-coding RNA (2133 nucleotides) under Hevea brasiliensis (rubber tree). The record is from RNAcentral. Lineage: Eukaryota; Viridiplantae; Streptophyta; Magnoliopsida; Malpighiales; Euphorbiaceae.